CGCACGACUCAGUCGGAGUGACGAGGAACCUUGUAGAUUACAAAUUUUAUUGUUUCAGAGACUUGGUAAGUGAGUGAGAAGGCCAUAAUAAAGCCUGUCCACUCACCAACGAGUGUAUAAGUCAGGGAAAGUCUUGAGGGGACCCCUGUGAAGACGAGCAGAACUCCAUUCCCUGCAGUCCUUACAUCCUGGAAGCUGAGGUGCCUUCACACGGACAAAGACUGAGGAUGACGA
RNAcentral lists this long non-coding RNA (234 nucleotides) under Pelobates cultripes (western spadefoot toad). Lineage: Eukaryota; Metazoa; Chordata; Amphibia; Anura; Pelobatidae. The record is from RNAcentral.